AAGUCGUAACAAGGUUUCCGUAGGUGAACCUGCGGAAGGAUCAUUAACACGUGAUACUCACGUAUUAAAUACCCACCGAGAAUUUGUUUUCUUACCUAUUGUUGAUUGUAAAUAGAUUGUAUGAGGGAGUGCUAUUGGCCGCCUUUCGUAAGAUUGUACGCCAUAACUCUGCAAUCGUUCUAGGUCCGCCCUGGAGUCUGCACCAACAAAUAGAUGAUGAAAUUAUGACUGCUUAUUAAGCCUGUAGCAUAGCUUGCAGCUCAUAGUGAACUAAUUAACCCCUUUUUCUAUUAUUUACUGAUUUGUAUGUUUAUAUGAAUUCCUGGUUUUCGGACUGGUUGAGUUUAUAUAGAUGUCGUAUAUUACUAAUACGAAACAACUCUUAGCAACGGAUAUCUUGGUUCUC
Molecule: unclassified non-coding RNA, 406 nt
Filed under: fungal sp.
Lineage: Eukaryota; Fungi
Description: partial internal transcribed spacer region
Rfam family: Eukaryotic small subunit ribosomal RNA (bases 1-46)
Source: RNAcentral